GAAAAGUACCCCGGAAGGGGAGUGAAAGAGAACUUGAAACCGUGUGCUUACAAGUAGUCAGAGCCCGUUUAUGGGUGAUGGCGUGCCUUUUGUAGAAUGAACCGGCGAGUUACGAUCUGAUGCAAGGUUAAGCAGUGAAUGUGGAGCCGUAGCGAAAGCGAGUCUGAAUAGGGCGUUGAGUAUUUGGUCGUAGACCCGAAACCAGGUGAUCUACCCUUGGUCAGGUUGAAGUUCAGGUAACACUGAAUGGAGGACCGAACCGACUUACGUUGAAAAGUGAGCGGAUGAACUGAGGGUAGCGGAGAAAUUCCAAUC
Molecule: ribosomal RNA, 315 nt
Filed under: Salmonella enterica subsp. enterica serovar Javiana
Lineage: Bacteria; Pseudomonadati; Pseudomonadota; Gammaproteobacteria; Enterobacterales; Enterobacteriaceae
Description: partial 23S ribosomal RNA
Rfam family: Bacterial large subunit ribosomal RNA
Source: RNAcentral